This is a non-coding RNA of Doryrhamphus excisus (bluestripe pipefish), 795 nucleotides long. The record is from RefSeq and is a predicted model, not a curated record. NCBI's taxonomy places the organism in Eukaryota, Metazoa, Chordata, Actinopteri, Syngnathiformes, Syngnathidae.
UGUAACUGAACAAGUAGUUCAAAACUCGCAAGUAAAUCGGAUCUCAUCUCCGGACCUCCUCUCCCUUAAGUCGUCCAUCUUACCGAUGCUACCUAGCUAAAUUGAAAAGUUGGAUGCAGCCUCUGUCUCACCUGAGCGGGUUCUUGAUGGCGACGUAUCGGUCCACAGCGAUGGCCAGCAGGCUGAAGAUGGAGCUCUGGGGUGAUGAUGACCAUGCUGGGCACACACUGCUGUGGGAUGGCAUUCCACCUCUCAGUCAGGAAGCGGUUGUGUUGGGCCGCACUCAAAAGAAAUAAAAUACUACAGGAAGAAAUAACCCAAAAAGUCAUCAUUUUGCAAGAAAAAAAAAAUAAUUUAUGUUGAAAAGUCAAAUUAUUAGCAUAAAGUAGUGUAAUUUAGUGGGGGUCAAAGACUACAAAAAUGAAAAUACUAUUUAGGUAGUAUUUUUAUUAUAUGAGUUAUGAGGGAAAGUUGCCGCAGAUAUUUGGAUAUCAUGAAAUGAUGAAAAAGGAUGAGAAAAUGGUCAUAAUCCUAUAAAAUAUUUGCAAAAGUCCUAAUUUUAUGGGAGAAAAGUUGUAAUCUCAGCAGAAAAAGGCUCAAUUUUUAAGUCAAAAGUGGCAAUUGUGGGAGAAAAAAAUGCCACUUUUUUACAUGCAUAUUGUUAGAAUUGUUUUUUUUUAUAAUAAUCAUAAAAUAUGAUGAAAAUAGUCCUUAUGUAAAUCAUAAUAUGAGAUUUUUUUAAAUUACUUUAAAAGUUGCCAUUUUGAAAGAAAACAGAAAAAUUCUGAAUUUAAU